GAUGAACGCUGGCGGCGUGCCUAAUACAUGCAAGUCGAGCGAACAGACGAGGAGCUUGCUCCUCUGACGUUAGCGGCGGACGGGUGAGUAACACGUGGAUAACCUACCUAUAAGACUGGGAUAACUUCGGGAAACCGGAGCUAAUACCGGAUAAUAUAUUGAACCGCAUGGUUCAAUAGUGAAAGACGGUUUUGCUGUCACUUAUAGAUGGAUCCGCGCCGCAUUAGCUAGUUGGUAAGGUAACGGCUUACCAAGGCGACGAUGCGUAGCCGACCUGAGAGGGGGAUCGGCCAAGCGGGAAAUGAGACGCGUCCCAGACACCGAGGGGAGGCAGAAGGGGGGAAGCAUCCGGAAAGGGCGAAAGCUUGACGGAGCAACGGCGGGGGGGUGAAGAAGGGUUGCGGUUUGAAAAACUUUUUUAUGAGGGAAAAAAAAAUGUGAAAGUAACGAAGCGGGCUUUGACGGGACCAAGACAAAAACCCCGGCCAACCUACUG
RNAcentral lists this ribosomal RNA (496 nucleotides) under uncultured bacterium. Its description in RNAcentral is "partial 16S ribosomal RNA". It matches the Rfam family "Bacterial small subunit ribosomal RNA", at positions 28 to 507 of the family's 1533-position model. The record is from RNAcentral.